Molecule: non-coding RNA, 73 nt
Organism: Paramuricea clavata
Lineage: Eukaryota; Metazoa; Cnidaria; Anthozoa; Malacalcyonacea; Plexauridae
Source: the annotation of a GenBank genome assembly
GACCGCGUAGCUCAGUUGGAAGAGCAUUGGGCUAGUAUUCCAAAGGUCGUAGGUUCGAAUCCCACAGUGGCCG